UACGGGGGGUCCAAGCGUUGUUCGGAAUCACUGGGCGUAAAGCGCAUGUAGGUGGCUUUUCAAGUCAACUGUGAAAGCCCCGGGCCUAACCCGGGAAGUGCAGUUGAUACUGUUGAGCUUGAGUACGAGAGAGGAUAGUGGAAUUCCAGGUGUAGUGGUGAAAUACGUAGAUAUCUGGAGGAACAUCGGUGGCGAAGGCGGCUAUCUGGCUCGAUACUGACACUGAGAUGCGAAAGCGUGGGGAUCAAAC
RNAcentral lists this ribosomal RNA (250 nucleotides) under uncultured bacterium. RNAcentral describes it as "partial 16S ribosomal RNA". It matches the Rfam family "Bacterial small subunit ribosomal RNA", at positions 524 to 773 of the family's 1533-position model. The record is from RNAcentral.